Molecule: long non-coding RNA, 1126 nt
Filed under: Sorghum bicolor (sorghum)
Lineage: Eukaryota; Viridiplantae; Streptophyta; Magnoliopsida; Poales; Poaceae
Description: long non-coding RNA (SBIC_LNC016628)
Source: RNAcentral
CCCCAUUUGUACUCUAGUGUUAGCCUUAAAGGUGUUAGGAUCCCUGGGAUGUUUUUUUACAUAUAUAGUGUAUUUGUAGUACUGUAAAAAUAAAGUAGUUGUGCUAAAGAUAUAGGGGGGGUGUUUGGGACUGCUCUGCUCCACGUUUUUUAGCUCCGCUCCACGUUUUUUAGCCAAAUGGUUUCAGGUCCAUGCACUUAGUUCGAGGAAAAAGGGUGGAGUUGUGAGAGCACCUAAAGAGGUACUCCACAAACUCUAGUUUUUUGUGGAGCUGCUCCACGGUGGAGUUUGUUGAGCAGUCCCAAACACCCCCAUACUCCCUCCAUUCUGUUUUACCCGGCGCGAGAGGCAUGACACCAGAUACCAAGAUGACGUACUAGUUCAGCGAUAGUAACCACCUUGCGGCAUGCAUGGAGUAACCACCUUGCGGCAUGCAGGGAUGUAUUAACUCUCCGUUGCCUACCUGUUGCGCUUUUUUCUCUCCCACCCGAGUAAUUAAAUUAUCCUUGAUAACCCAGCUCGCCUCCUAUUCUAGCAGAAUUGAAAAAUGGGUGUGCGCCUGGUAAAACGGAAUGGAGGGAGUAUUGAUGAUAGCUUGCAUAUUCUUCUGCACUGGCAGUAUUUCCCAUAUAUAUAUUUUAGUAAUUAUUACGAGGUUUACAAUAUGGUUGAAAGGUCCCCAAAGACACAUGCAUGAAAUUGUGCCAUUUGGCUCAUUUACUACUGUACCAGUGGUGUUUAAACUUAUUCAGUGCUCCUGUUACGUUAUAGUAAUUAUGUAAGGCUGUUGAGGUUUUACUUUCUUGUGUGUGGGUAAAUUUUAUUUUGAACCACUCCGCACUCAAAAGCUUGGUUCAGUUUAGAGAUGUUCUGUGCGUAGCCCUUUUUGUUCUUCAUUGAUCAUAAUCAACAUUUCUUGACUUUGCAAACGGGCUUCUAGCUGAGUUGGUUAGGUGAUUCUAGUAGCACUUCUCAGAUCUUGGGUUUGACUCCCCGUUGGAGCGAAUUUCAGGCUUGGCUUGGGUUGAAUAUACUGGGGAGGUCUGUUCCACAGUAUUUCUUUCCAAAAAAAAAACAUUUUCUUGAAUUUACACUAACUGAGUUGGCUGUUGCCACAAAUUAGGAC